GAUCAUGGCUCAGGAUGAACGCUAGCUACAGGCUUAACACAUGCAAGUCGAGGGGCAGCAUUGGAGUAGCAAUACUCAGAUGGCGACCGGCGCACGGGUGAGUAACACGUAUCCAACCUGCCGCUUACUCGGGGAUAGCCUUUCGAAAGAAAGAUUAAUACCCGAUGGUAUAAAGAGUUCGCAUGUUCUCUUUAUUAAAGAAUUUCGGUAAGCGAUGGGGAUGCGUUCCAUUAGAUAGUUGGCGGGGUAACGGCCCACCAAGUCUACGAUGGAUAGGGGUUCUGAGAGGAAGGUCCCCCACAUUGGGACUGAGACACGGUCCAAACUCCUACGGGAGGCAGCAGUGAGGAAUAUUGGUCGAUGGACGAGAGUCUGAACCAGCCAAGUAGCGUGAAGGAUGACUGCCCUAUGGGUUGUAAACUUCUUUUAUAAGGGAAUAAAGUGAGGGACGUGUCCCUUUUUGUAUGUACCUUAUGAAUAAGGAUCGGCUAACUCCGUGCCAGCAGCUGC
RNAcentral lists this ribosomal RNA (510 nucleotides) under uncultured bacterium. Its description in RNAcentral is "bacterial SSU rRNA". It matches the Rfam family "Bacterial small subunit ribosomal RNA", at positions 15 to 518 of the family's 1533-position model. The record is from RNAcentral.